Molecule: long non-coding RNA, 594 nt
Organism: Micropterus salmoides (largemouth bass)
Lineage: Eukaryota; Metazoa; Chordata; Actinopteri; Centrarchiformes; Centrarchidae
Exons: 2
Source: RefSeq, a predicted model, not a curated record
CUGUCCACAGCAGAGUAUCUAUCCACCUGGAGGAGUAACUAGUACAAAUUUGUGUACAAGUGCUAUAUUAUAACAAUAAAUAAAACAUUUAAUGUUAGCAUAAUACUAAUAUAUUUAUAGAUUACUAUAUAUAUGUACUAAGGUCUGCCUGCUGAUACAGUUAGAUAUACAUUAUAGUAGGCCUAUUAGUAACAUUUUAACAACUGAUUGACAUUCAACAAUUCAACUGAUUUACAAACUGCUUUCUCCCUUGUGUUUUUGUUUUGUCAUCUGUCUGAGCUGUGUGCUGUGUGGGCGUGGUGCUCCUGGUUCUCUCUUUCCUCAUCAGGACACCUGUGGCUUCCUACUCACCUGAAGCAGAUUCUGCAAUCACCUCUCCUGUCUUAAGCCCCAGCUUUCCAACUAGUCUCUGGCAGAUCAUCUGUUCAUCCAAGUGAUAACCGCUUCAGUCCCGGAAGCCCAGCCUGCCUGCCUAGCCGAGUUGUUUUGGACCAGCCUCUCGCAUGUCUGCCUGCACUCUUCCCCAGCCUCACAGUGGAUUUCAGAGCACCAUUCCUACCUGUUGUUCAAUAAAACCCCUGUACCUGUUUCUUA